Molecule: long non-coding RNA, 566 nt
Organism: Prunus dulcis (almond)
Lineage: Eukaryota; Viridiplantae; Streptophyta; Magnoliopsida; Rosales; Rosaceae
Exons: 2
Source: RefSeq, a predicted model, not a curated record
UCCUUAUCUCCAAAUCCUUUCUCAUUUCUCCUUUAUUUGCAACCAACCACCCCCACCAGCUAUACCCACCCAAAUAUGAAGCUCGACUUGAGAGAGCUGAUCAGAGGAGUGUUGGGGCAGAAGGGAGAGGAGGGCGGAGAGAGCCGUAAUCAAUCCCAUCGUUGCUUCCAUUUUUGUUCCUUGGUUUUCUUUGUUUUCGUUUCUCAGAGGCCAUGAACGCAGCAACCAAGUUGGCUCGAUAUGCUCGUCUUCACUUUCUUUCUCCGUCUACCCCACUUGCCAAAUAAGUUUUGCUCUCAUACAGUCUCACUGUAAAAUCCAAGGUCCCUUUUUGGCCCGAAAAAGUUUAUGCUACUUUCGAAGCUCCAAUCUUGAAAACCAAGAUCCAGUUUAGAAAAGAAGAAAUGCUCUCGAAAAUCUCAGUUACCCACGUGAAAGCAUCACCAUCUGCAUCCACUUCUGGAUUUAUUAAUUUUUUUAAAGGGUUGAAAUAUAAUUUUGCCUCUGCACACAUUUAGCACAGGCAAUUAAACUGACGGAAUUGAGAUAUGUGACUUGAUUUGUUA